This 468-nucleotide ribosomal RNA is filed under the name uncultured bacterium. Its description in RNAcentral is "partial 16S ribosomal RNA". It matches the Rfam family "Bacterial small subunit ribosomal RNA", at positions 28 to 507 of the family's 1533-position model. The record is from RNAcentral.
GAUGAACGCUGACAGAAUGCUUAACACAUGCAAGUCAACUUGAAUUUGGGUUUUUUAACUUAGAUUUGGGUGGCGGACGGGUGAGUAACGCGUAAAGAACUUGCCUCACAGCUAGGGACAACAUUUGGAAACGAAUGCUAAUACCUGAUAUUAUGAUUAUAAGGCAUCUUAGAAUUAUGAAAGCUAUAUGCGCUGUGAGAGAGCUUUGCGUCCCAUUAGCUAGUUGGAGAGGUAACGGCUCACCAAGGCGAUGAUGGGUAGCCGGCCUGAGAGGGUGAACGGCCACAAUGGGACUGAGACACGGCCCUUACUCCUACGGGAGGCAGCAGUGGGGAAUAUUGGACAAUGGACCAAGAGUCUGAUCCAGCAAUUCUGUGUGCACGAUGACGUUUUUCGGAAUGUAAAGUGCUUUCAGUUGGGAAGAAAAAAAUGACGGUACCAACAGAAGAAGAGACGGCUAAAUACGUG